RNAcentral lists this long non-coding RNA (1677 nucleotides) under Homo sapiens (human). Its description in RNAcentral is "HSALNT0327197". Lineage: Eukaryota; Metazoa; Chordata; Mammalia; Primates; Hominidae. The record is from RNAcentral.
UUGAAUGAUCCAGUGGGCACUCUGUAUUCCUUCAUAAACUGUGUGGUGAAUGUGCGUGUGUGUAUGUAUGUAUAUGCACGUGUUUAUGUGUUUUCUGGGGUUAAUUUCCUUAAAAUAAAAAGGCAACUGUCAAGACUAAAGCUAUAAUAAUUUUUAUGAAUCUUAGAAAAUGUUGAAUUUUUAGUGAUUCCAGAAAUUGAUCUCUAUCGAUGAAACUGCUUUCUCAAAUACGUCAGCAAUGGGAUUCAGGCUUUGCUUACAAUGUGAAGGAAGUUCUUAGUCUCAUUUGCACAAAGAAGGAAGGAGGGCUAAAGAUAAAAAGAACUCAUAGUCUUUUCCAUAGUUUUGGGUCAUGUUCACUGUAAAAAAAAAUCACAAGAUGCCAUUUUUACACAGCCUUUUUAAUCUACACAUACGGCAAGCUAAUAAUUCCAAAAAAAUAAUUUCUUUCCUUUGUAGCCAUUUAAAACUAACAGCUAGAAAUAUUUCUUCUUCCAAUUAUUAAAAAUAAGCUGUUUCUGAGUCGGUGCUGACUACAUUUACUGAUUGAAGCAGCCAACUCCAAAUAUACCAUCUUUUAGUAUUGACACUUAAAAUAAAACUUCUCCCCAGAAAAAGAGUUCUAUAAAUGAUGGCUGUAGAAAUAGGCACUGUCCAGGCAGUUGUUUUGUGGAAGUAGUGUUGUUAUUUUCUGGUGUUUUCCAAGUCAUCUCAGAUGGUGCGUGAAAAUGAGAUGCCAAAGAAGGCUUAAAAAAGAUACCCUGCACCAGCUUCAGAAUGUAAGCAAAUCUUUCAUUCCAGCGCUUAAAAGUUUUGAGAAAGCUAAUCUAAAGUUAAAUGUUUACUAGCAUCUCUCCGAUUAUAUUUUAGAAACUACUGCACAAAAAUAAAACAAAUUUCUUAUUUUCUCUGGGUUGAAAAGUGCACAUAAAAUGGAAAAUGCUUUUUAUACCACUAUUUCCAGCAGGGAUUUUAUUUUCAUUUGUCAUUUGCCAGCCUGGGGUAUGUUGGGAGAAGGAACAAUUGAUUUUUGAAAAGGUGCAUUUGUGUGAAAACCAAAAAUUGUGUUCAACAAAUACUACUACUAACCCAUAUGUGGAUAUAUGUGUUUUAUACAUGAGUAAAAAAAAAAAAAAAAACAUACAUAUAUGUAUGGCAUAUAUAUAUAUAUAUAUAUAUAUAUAUAUGCUAUAGAAAUGCCAUCAAGUUACCAGUUUACUUCUAAAUGUAACUGCUUAAUAUAAAAUAUGCAUCUUUUUGUAGUACCUAAUUCUUGCAAUUCAGUGUAUUUCCUGGCGAGAGGCAGAGAUGAACAACCCUGGACAGUUACCACAUAUGGCUCUUAUGAGUAUAGACAAAAUGACCUACGAAUCAAGCAUUUUGUUCCACGGUCUCUACUGUUAGCUGUAUGUCUCAGAAACAGCUUCUUUCUCAAGAGAGAACAAGAGGGAUAAUGCUGGAUCUAAAGGCAUCAUCUGAAGAAGACAAAGAUAUCAACAAUCGCAACUAUUUGGCUUUCUGUCCAUCACUGAGACUUUUCAUAAUCUUCCCUUCAUAAAUAGGAUCUCUUGAUCAGAACAGAAAAGUUGAGUCUUAAAUUUCCUGUAUUUAUUUCUGACUGAUACUGAGGGAAGUGCAAAUUUGGUUGCUAUGAUUAAACUCCUUGAUUGUUCUUAA